GGCGGCGUGCCUAAUACAUGCAAGUCGAGCGAACAGAAGGGAGCUUGCUCCCGGAUGUUAGCGGCGGACGGGUGAGUAACACGUGGGUAACCUGCCUGUAAGACUGGGAUAACUCCGGGAAACCGGAGCUAAUACCGGAUAGUUCCUUGAACCGCAUGGUUCAAGGAUGAAAGACGGUUUCGGCUGUCACUUACAGAUGGACCCGCGGCGCAUUAGCUAGUUGGUGGGGUAAUGGCUCACCAAGGCGACGAUGCGUAGCCGACCUGAGAGGGUGAUCGGCCACACUGGGACUGAGACACGGCCCAGACUCCUACGGGAGGCAGCAGUAGGGAAUCUUCCGCAAUGGACGAAAGUCUGACGGAGCAACGCCGCGUGAGUGAUGAAGGUUUUCGGAUCGUAAAGCUCUGUUGUUAGGGAAGAACAAGUGCGAGAGUAACUGCUCGCACCUUGACGGUACCUAACCAGAAAGCCACGGCUAACUACGUGCCAGCAGCCGCGGUAAUACGUAGGUGGCAAGCGUUGUCCGGAAUUAUUGGGCGUAAAGGGCUCGCAGGCGGUUUCUUAAGUCUGAUGUGAAAGCCCCCGGCUCAACCGGGGAGGGUCAUUGGAAACUGGGAAACUUGAGUGCAGAAGAGGAGAGUGGAAUUCCACGUGUAGCGGUGAAAUGCGUAGAGAUGUGGAGGAACACCAGUGGCGAAGGCGACUCUCUGGUCUGUAACUGACGCUGAGGAGCGAAAGCGUGGGGAGCGAACAGGAUUAGAUACCCUGGUAGUCCACGCCGUAAACGAUGAGUGCUAAGUGUUAGGGGGUUUCCGCCCCUUAGUGCUGCAGCUAACGCAUUAAGCACUCCGCCUGGGGAGUACGGUCGCAAGACUGAAACUCAAAGGAAUUGACGGGGGCCCGCACAAGCGGUGGAGCAUGUGGUUUAAUUCGAAGCAACGCGAAGAACCUUACCAGGUCUUGACAUCCUCUGACAACCCUAGAGAUAGGGCUUUCCCUUCGGGGACAGAGUGACAGGUGGUGCAUGGUUGUCGUCAGCUCGUGUCGUGAGAUGUUGGGUUAAGUCCCGCAACGAGCGCAACCCUUGAUCUUAGUUGCCAGCAUUUAGUUGGGCACUCUAAGGUGACUGCCGGUGACAAACCGGAGGAAGGUGGGGAUGACGUCAAAUCAUCAUGCCCCUUAUGAC
Molecule: ribosomal RNA, 1186 nt
Filed under: Bacillus sp. FLU1
Lineage: Bacteria; Bacillati; Bacillota; Bacilli; Caryophanales; Bacillaceae
Description: bacterial SSU rRNA
Rfam family: Bacterial small subunit ribosomal RNA
Source: RNAcentral